RNAcentral lists this long non-coding RNA (228 nucleotides) under Solanum tuberosum (potato). RNAcentral's name for it is "long non-coding RNA (STUB_LNC011775)". The record is from RNAcentral. Lineage: Eukaryota; Viridiplantae; Streptophyta; Magnoliopsida; Solanales; Solanaceae.
CUUUGCAAGUUUGGUUUGGAAAGUUCAACACUGUAAUUUUAUCACUUUGUGUUUUAUCGGCAUUAUGCAUCAAAUUCAGUAUUUCAUGAGAAAAUUAAGCACAUUGAGAUUGACUGACAUUAUGCAUCAAAUCUAGUAUUUAAUGAGAAGACAAGCACAUUGAGAUUGACUGUCAAUUUUGUGAAGUCCACUGAUCAACUUGCGGAUAUCUCACCAAGCCCCUCAUCG